Molecule: unclassified non-coding RNA, 892 nt
Filed under: Leishmania donovani
Lineage: Eukaryota; Euglenozoa; Kinetoplastea; Trypanosomatida; Trypanosomatidae
Description: gene:unknown
Source: RNAcentral
GCAACGGCACACACACACACACACACACACACAGACCCACGGUCAUGCCUGCAGACAUGGACAGGCGUAUGGUCUCUCGUGCUGUGGGCUUGCGUAUGUGUAGUCGUCUGCGUGUGUGGUCUACAGUCGCGUGUGCCGCUGCGUCCUGCCUCGAGUGCGUGUGGACCAGAACAUGGACACAACGGGGGAGGCAGCUGUUUGUCGGAGGACGAGCGACUCUGUGCUUCUCAUAAGAGCCGGGCCCCUAUCGACGCCCGCAAAUACUCACGGACUCUGCGCUGUCCCUUUUUUUCUUGUCUUUCGGUUUCGUUUUUCCUUUUGCUUUUGAGCACUGCCGCAUGACGGGUGUACGCGUGCGCUCACGUGUGCCGGGGGCGUGUGUGCCUCUUGCCGGGCUACUCGCACUGCAUCGAGGCGGUCGUGCCGAUUGGACGCCGUGCCAUGCACGCUCCUGCACUUUGCCGACCACACUCUCUUCACCCGUGUGCGUGUGUGCGCGCUAAAAGAAGGGCAAAUGAGUAAACAAACCGCCAUCGUGCCAUGCGCGAUGAUCGCGUAGGACGGGAGUGGUGGUGUCGGCGCGGGCCAGCAGGCACGCACACAGAGGGUGUCAAACAAAAAAAAAAAGAAGCGAUCAGUAGCUUCCAUCAGAGACCCCCUCCCUCCUCCUCUGCCCACACCCCUCCCAUCACCACACGGACACGCAGAAUUGCAAGUGAGAGUCUUCGAGCCACAAAGCAACCCAGUGCAACAGUUUCGGUGUGCGUGUUCGUGUUUGCAUCGGUGCGUGAGUAGUAACUCAAGCUUAUGCACGCCCACACAUCUCUCCCUCCCUCGCCUCUCUGUCUGUAUGAUCGCGUUUUUGUUCCCGCUUUCGCACUUCAUCGAGAAG